RNAcentral lists this ribosomal RNA (465 nucleotides) under uncultured bacterium. RNAcentral describes it as "SSU rRNA". It matches the Rfam family "Bacterial small subunit ribosomal RNA", at positions 26 to 518 of the family's 1533-position model. The record is from RNAcentral.
AGGACGAACGCUGGCGGUGUGCUUCACACAUGCAAGUCGAACGGGGUAGCAAUACCCAGUGGCGGACGGGUGAGUAACGCGUGGGAAUCUGCCUUAGAAUGGGGGAUAGCUGGCCGAAAGGCUAAUUAAUACCGCAUAAGCCUAUAUUUCGACAGUUUUAUAGGUAAAAGGAGUAAUCCGUUUUAAGAUGAGCCCGCGUCCGAUUAGCUAGUUGGUAGGGUAAAAGCCUACCAAGGCUUCGAUCGGUAGGUGGCCCGAGAGGGCGAUCACCCACAAUGGAACUGAGACACGGUCCAUACUCCUACGGGAGGCAGCAGUGGGGAAUUUUACGCAAUGGGCGAAAGCCUGACGUAGCGACACCGCGUGAACGAAGAAGCCUUUUGGGGUGUAAAGUUCUGUCGGCUGGGACGAAAAAAUGACGGUACCAGCAGAGGAAGCAUCGGCUAACUACGUGCCAGCAGCCGC